UAAAGUGCGAAAAGUGAUGCGAUACGCAUGCUCUGCGAGUCAUCUAGUCUUUGAACGCAAAUUGCACUCUCGAGUCGAUCGAGAGUAUGUCCGAUUGAGAACCAGCACACUAUCUGAGCAGUUAGCUCGGGCGUCGACCACAAAUAUGUGGUUGUGACCUAUGCCUAUGGCACGCAGUGGUAGAGACUGUGGUCUUCAAGCUGCAAAGCUAUAGUUAAUCAUUUCAUUUUUAAUGGUCUCAAUUUGGGCAAGAGUACCCGCUGGACUUAA
Molecule: unclassified non-coding RNA, 270 nt
Filed under: uncultured fungus
Lineage: Eukaryota; Fungi
Description: sequence contains ITS1
Rfam family: 5.8S ribosomal RNA (bases 1-104)
Source: RNAcentral